Molecule: ribosomal RNA, 433 nt
Filed under: uncultured bacterium
Lineage: Bacteria
Description: partial 16S ribosomal RNA
Rfam family: Bacterial small subunit ribosomal RNA
Source: RNAcentral
AACGAACGCUGGCGGCAUGCCUAACACAUGCAAGUCGAACGAGACCUUCGGGUCUAGUGGCGCACGGGUGCGUAACGCGUGGGAACCUGCCCUUAGGUUCGGAAUAACUCCCCGAAAGGGGUGCUAAUACCGGAUAAUGUCUUCGGACCAAAGAUUUAUCGCCUUUGGAUGGGCCCGCGUUGGAUUAGCUAGUUGGUAGGGUAAAAGCCUACCAAGGCGACGAUCCAUAGCUGGUCUGAGAGGAUGAUCAGCCACACUGGGACUGAGACACGGCCCAGACUCCUACGGGAGGCAGCAGUGGGGAAUAUUGGACAAUGGGCUAAAUCCUGAUCCAGCAAUGCCGCGUGAGUGAUGAAGGCCUUAGGGUUGUAAAGCUCUUUUACCCGGGAUGAUAAUGACAGUACCGGGAGAAUAAGCACCGGCUAACUCCGUG